This 253-nucleotide ribosomal RNA is filed under the name uncultured bacterium. RNAcentral's name for it is "partial 16S ribosomal RNA". It matches the Rfam family "Bacterial small subunit ribosomal RNA", at positions 524 to 776 of the family's 1533-position model. The record is from RNAcentral.
UACGUAGGGGGCUAGCGUUGUCCGGAAUCAUUGGGCGUAAAGAGCGUGUAGGCGGCCCGGUAAGUCCGCUGUGAAAGUCGGGGGCUCAACCCUCGAAUGCCGGUGGAUACUGUCGGGCUAGAGUGCGGAAGAGGCGAGUGGAAUUCCUGGUGUAGCGGUGAAAUGCGCAGAUAUCAGGAGGAACACCAAUUGCGAAAGCAGCUCUCUGGGACGGUACUGACGCUGAGACGCGAAAGCGUGGGGAGCGAACAGG